This 24-nucleotide non-coding RNA is filed under the name Gossypium hirsutum (cotton). The record is from RNAcentral. Lineage: Eukaryota; Viridiplantae; Streptophyta; Magnoliopsida; Malvales; Malvaceae.
AUAAGGAAAUUAGCCCCGGGUGGU